CCUACGGGAGGCAGCAGUGAGGAAUAUUGGUCAAUGGGCGGAAGCCUGAACCAGCCAAGUAGCGUGCAGGAUGACGGCCCUAUGGGUUGUAAACUGCUUUUAUACGGGAAUAACGCGCCUUACGUGUAGGGCUUUGCAUGUACCGUAUGAAUAAGGACCGGCUAAUUCCGUGCCAGCAGCCGCGGUAAUACGGAAGGUCCGGGCGUUAUCCGGAUUUAUUGGGUUGAAAGGGAGCGUAGGCGGCAUGUCAAGCGUGCUGUGAAAUGGCCGGGCUAAACUCGGGCGUUGCAGCGCGAACUGGGGUGCGUGAGUCCGCUGAAGGCAGGCGGAAUUCGUGGUGUAGCGGUGAAAUGCUUAGAUAUGACGAAGAACCCCGAUUGCGAAGGCAGCUUGCUGCAGCGGAACUGACGCUGAUGCUCGAAAGCGCGGGUAUCGAACAGGAUUAGAUACCCUUGUAGUC
RNAcentral lists this ribosomal RNA (460 nucleotides) under uncultured bacterium. Its description in RNAcentral is "partial 16S ribosomal RNA". It matches the Rfam family "Bacterial small subunit ribosomal RNA", at positions 338 to 795 of the family's 1533-position model. The record is from RNAcentral.